This 253-nucleotide ribosomal RNA is filed under the name uncultured bacterium. RNAcentral describes it as "partial 16S ribosomal RNA". It matches the Rfam family "Bacterial small subunit ribosomal RNA", at positions 524 to 776 of the family's 1533-position model. The record is from RNAcentral.
GACGAACCAAGCGAACGUUAUUCGGAAUCACUGGGCUUAAAGGGCGCGUAGGCGGGCCAUCAAGUCAGGGGUGAAAGCCUCCAGCUCAACUGGAGAAGUGCCUCUGAUACUGGUGGCCUCGAGGGAGGUAGGGGCGUGCGGAACUUCCGGUGGAGCGGUGAAAUGCGUAGAUAUCGGAAGGAACACCGGUGGCGAAAGCGGCGCGCUGGACCUCUUCUGACGCUGAGGCGCGAAAGCCAGGGGAGCGAACGGG